UCGGGAAUUUUGGGCAAUGGGCGCAAGCCUGAUGACGCAACGCCGCGUGGGGGAUGAAGGUCUUCGGAUCGUAAACCCCUGUCGAAUGGGACGAAAGACUCGCGAGUGAAUACUUCGCGAGAGUGACGGUACCGUUAAAGGAAGCCACGGCUAACUCUGUGCCAGCAGCCGCGGUAAUACAGAGGUGGCAAGCGUUGUUCGGAAUUACUGGGCGUAAAGGGCGCGUAGGCGGCCCUCUAAGUCAGACGUGAAAUCCCCCGGCUUAACCUGGGAACUGCGUCUGAUACUGGAGGGCUUGAGUAUGGUAGAGGGAUGUAGAAUUCCAGGUGUAGCGGUGAAAUGCGUAGAUAUCUGGAGGAAUACCGGUGGCGAAGGCGGUAUCCUGGACCAUUACUGACGCUGAGGCGCGAAAGCUAGGGGAGCAAACGGGAUUAGAUACCCAGGUAGUCCCUGAGCGGGCUGGCAAGGCGCAU
Molecule: ribosomal RNA, 473 nt
Filed under: uncultured bacterium
Lineage: Bacteria
Description: bacterial SSU rRNA
Rfam family: Bacterial small subunit ribosomal RNA
Source: RNAcentral